RNAcentral lists this transfer RNA (86 nucleotides) under Xiphosiphonia pinnulata. Its description in RNAcentral is "tRNA-Leu". It matches the Rfam family "tRNA". Rfam says of the family: Transfer RNA (tRNA) molecules are approximately 80 nucleotides in length. Their secondary structure includes four short double-helical elements and three loops (D, anti-codon, and T loops). Lineage: Eukaryota; Rhodophyta; Florideophyceae; Ceramiales; Rhodomelaceae. The record is from RNAcentral.
ACAGGUAUGAUGAAAUUGGUAAACAUAUUAGAUUUAGAUUCUAAAUUACAGUAAUGUUAGUGUGGGUUCGAAUCCCUCUACCUGUA